Stylophora pistillata is the source of this 782-nucleotide long non-coding RNA. The record is from RefSeq and is a predicted model, not a curated record. NCBI's taxonomy places the organism in Eukaryota, Metazoa, Cnidaria, Anthozoa, Scleractinia, Pocilloporidae.
UUCCUUUUAAUUAGGUGCACGCAGAUAAGUCAUAGUUAUGUAAUUGUUGUACUUUGUUUGACUCUGCAGUGCCGUUGCUGAUCUCAAAACGGGAUGGAACUGCAAGUCAUGGCCGUGUGUUGAGCCACUACAUUACACACAGACUGAUAGUUAUAACUGUGGUGUGAUUGUAUGUCUUUUUGCUCGGUGUUUGUGUGAGGGGUUAGAUGUCAAUGGAAGUUACAACGUGCAAAUGGAAAGAGAGAGAAUAACGUCUGUCAUAUUUGGCUCCUGUUACGAUGACCUUGAUGAGAGAAACACCGCAGUCUGUAAGAUUUGUAAAGACGACGAUGGAGAGGAUUGGCUUGGGUGUGAUAGCUGUGGCCAGUUUUUCCACGCAAGUUGUCUGAAUGUGCCUUUCGCAGAGACGCUUACACAACAUUUCACCUGCCGUUAGGGUGGCUUCUUUUCGGAUCAAGUGGACUUUAAUGUCAUGUCUAGACCUUAAUCUACCAGGAUUGCGAAUACAGUUCUUGGUAAUCGAUUAAAAUAUAUAUUCAGGAACGUCACGGAUCCAAAAUCGUAACGUGAUGGAGCCAACAAUAUGAAGAACAUCUCAGAGUUCAAGAUGUUUUAUUUUUGUUCGAUUCGACGUUUAGUUUUCAUCCUGAGUGCUUCUGUUAAAGUGAAUAGAAAGAAAAAGUUUGAACGGAAAACAUAAUUAUUUAUCAUAUGGUUGUUUUGAGAAAAGGUCUCCUAAAUCGAGCGACCUUUAUCGAAACAUUUGAGGGAUGGUAAACACA